RNAcentral lists this long non-coding RNA (1407 nucleotides) under Macaca fascicularis (crab-eating macaque). RNAcentral's name for it is "lncRNA (ENSMFAG00000059602.1)". Lineage: Eukaryota; Metazoa; Chordata; Mammalia; Primates; Cercopithecidae. The record is from RNAcentral.
UUUCACAAUUUAAAGCUCUUAUUUUUUAUUAUACAAGUAAUACACAAUCUUUGUAGAAAAAUCAGAAAGUACAGAUAAUAAACACAAAAUAAAAAUCUAUGGACCAACCAAUCAUAAAUAACCACUGUUAACACUGAAAGGAGAUGUAUAUUAAAAGAAUAAUAUACUAUGACUAUAUCAGGUUUUUAUAGAAAUGCAGAGAUGUCUUAACAUUAGCUAAUCUAUUAAUGAUUCAUCUAAAGUCAUAAUAGAGAAAAGCCAGUUGAUCAUCUUGACAGAUGUGGAAAAAAGCCAUUAAAUAAAACCCCAACAUCCAUUACUAAUAAUAUUUUCAUCAAACUAGAAAUAGAGGGCAUAACCUUAAUGUAUAAUUCAAAUAUUAAGAUUAUUUUACACUAAGAGUCAAAUUUAUAGUUCUGGAGAAACACUCUUCUAAGUAAAAAAAAUAUAUAUAAAAUAAUGUACAAUAUCAGCAGAAUUAUGUAAGUGUUAUUUAACAUUGUUCUAAAAGUACCGGUCAAUGUGAUGAUUUGAGAAAGUGAAAUAAGAUUACAAACAUGGGAAUAAAAUUAUCAACCUACCCAGAAUUAUUACCCAACUGAAAAAGGCAAAAGAAAUUAACAACAGCAAAACCUUUAGAAUAGUUCAGUAACUGGCUAGUUAUAAAAUAAAUAACCAAUCGCCAAGUUAAACUAUUAUACAACCACACACUACUCUCUUAUGCAGAGGUAAGAAUGAGGUAGAUUGGCGUGUACUGACAUAGGAAGAUCUAUUGCAAAGAGAAAAAUGCUAAGAGCAGAAGGGUUGUCUCAUAUGGUCAAAGUGCUAAAACAUACUUUAGGAAAAAACUGAUGAAUAUGCAUCAACUGUUGACUGUUUUUCUUGGGGGAAAGGGAUUUUAAUUAUGGGGGGCUUUAAUUUUCUACAUAUGUUUUAAAAUAAUGUUUACACUUACAUAAGUUUUAUUUAAUGUUUUAAGUCAUAAAAGCGAUUGAUUUAAUUUUCAUUUUUUAAAGUAGUGGGAAAAGAUCUCAUUUACACAAUAGUAACCACACUACAAAAAUCACCUAUACUAGAAAAGAUAGGCUGAGAGACAUAAAACAUUAUAAAUGUACUGAAAUGAAAGGUUAAAUAUUAUAAAGAUGUUAGUCCUCUUGUGUAAAAUAUGUAAAUUUUACUCAAUCCAAUUUCUAAUUUUUCUAAACAUUACAAAAUUGUCUCAAUGUCUUUUGGAAGCUUUUUUUUUUCUUUUUUUUGGGGACAGUCUCGCUCCGUCACCCAGGCUGGAGGGUAGUGGUGCUAUCUCAGCUCACUGCAACCUCCACCUCCUGGGUUCACUGCCUCAGCCUCCCAAGUAGCUGAGAUUACAGGCACCCAUCACCACACCCGGCUAAUUUUCUUUUGUUA